This 324-nucleotide ribosomal RNA is filed under the name uncultured bacterium. RNAcentral describes it as "bacterial SSU rRNA". It matches the Rfam family "Bacterial small subunit ribosomal RNA", at positions 30 to 334 of the family's 1533-position model. The record is from RNAcentral.
AUUGAACGCUGGCGGCAAGCCUAACACAUGCAAGUCGAACGGUAACAGAUCGCUGAGAUUCCUUCGGGAUGAUCUUGAUGCUGACGAGUGGGCGGACGGGUGAGUAACGCGUAGGAAUCUACCUGGUAGUGGGGGAUAGCUCGGGGAAACUCGAAUUAAUACCGCAUACGACCUAAGGGUGAAAGUGGGGGAUCUUCGGACCUCACGCUAUCAGAGGAGCCUGCGUUGGAUUAGCUAGUUGGUGGGGUAAAGGCCCACCAAGGCGACGAUCCAUAGCUGGUCUGAGAGGAUGAUCAGCCACACUGGAACUGAGACACGGUCCAG